RNAcentral lists this long non-coding RNA (200 nucleotides) under Gossypium barbadense (sea-island cotton). RNAcentral's name for it is "long non-coding RNA (GBAR_LNC021007)". The record is from RNAcentral. Lineage: Eukaryota; Viridiplantae; Streptophyta; Magnoliopsida; Malvales; Malvaceae.
UUGGUUUCCAUAGAGAUCAAAGUGGACAGUAAGCUACUUCUAUGGCUUGUACGAAUGGAUCAAGAAAGAUGAAGGUCACUGAAUGCAACAAUUAUGGGGAAAACCAUGUAGGAACAUGAUGGAAAGUCAUAGGGGCUUGUUUCAUUUUUGGAACACUCGAUUAUUAGAAACGAGAUUGCCCAGCUAGGGGAGGAGGGAAU